AACGAACGCUGGCGGCACGUUUUAAGCAUGCAAGUCGAAUGGCAGCAGGGGCAACUCUGUGAGAAUGGCGAACGUGUGCGUAACACGUAGCUGAUCUGCCUUGAGGAUGGGGAUAGCCUGUGGAAACACAGGGUAAUACCGAAUAAGCUGACGGGACUUUGGUUUUGUUAGUAAAGGUGCUACGGCACCGCCUUGAGAGGAGCAUGCGGCUGAUUAGCUAGUUGGUGGGGUAAAGGCCUACCAAAGCGCCGCUCAGUAGCCGGCCUGUGCGGGUGGACGGCCACACUGGGACUGAGAAACGGCCCAGACUCCUACGGGAGGCAGCAGGUAAGAAUCUUCCGCAAUGGGCGAAAGCCGGACGGAGCGAUGCCGCGUGAUCGAUGAAGGUCGAGAGAUUGUAAAGAUCUUUUCUACAUGAGGAAUAAGUCUGGGAGGGAAUGCCUGGAUGAUGACGGUAGUGUAGGAAGAAGCCCCGGCUAAUUACGUGCCAGCCGCCGCAGUAA
This 503-nucleotide ribosomal RNA is filed under the name uncultured bacterium. RNAcentral's name for it is "partial 16S ribosomal RNA". It matches the Rfam family "Bacterial small subunit ribosomal RNA", at positions 29 to 523 of the family's 1533-position model. The record is from RNAcentral.